GAGUUUGACCCUGGCUCAGGACGAACGCUGGCGGCGUGCCUAAUACAUGCAAGUCGAGCGAGCUUGCCUAGAUGAUUUUAGUGCUUGCACUAAAUGAAACUAGAUACAAGCGAGCGGCGGACGGGUGAGUAACACGUGGGUAACCUGCCCAAGAGACUGGGAUAACACCUGGAAACAGAUGCUAAUACCGGAUAACAACACUAGACGCAUGUCUAGAGCUUGAAAGAUGGUUCUGCUAUCACUCUUGGAUGGACCUGCGGUGCAUUAGCUAGUUGGUAAGGUAACGGCUUACCAAGGCAAUGAUGCAUAGCCGAGUUGAGAGACUGAUCGGCCACAUUGGGACUGAGACACGGCCCAAACUCCUACGGGAGGCAGCAGUAGGGAAUCUUCCACAAUGGACGAAAGUCUGAUGGAGCAACGCCGCGUGAGUGAAGAAGGGUUUCGGCUCGUAAAGCUCUGUUGGUAGUGAAGAAAGAUAGAGGUAGUAACUGGCCUUUAUUUGACGGUAAUUACUUAGAAAGUCACGGCUAACUACGUGCCAGCAGCCGCGGUAAUACGUAGGUGGCAAGCGUUGUCCGGAUUUAUUGGGCGUAAAGCGAGUGCAGGCGGUUCAAUAAGUCUGAUGUGAAAGCCUUCGGCUCAACCGGAGAAUUGCAUCAGAAACUGUUGAACUUGAGUGCAGAAGAGGAGAGUGGAACUCCAUGUGUAGCGGUGAAAUGCGUA
This 723-nucleotide ribosomal RNA is filed under the name uncultured bacterium. RNAcentral describes it as "bacterial SSU rRNA". It matches the Rfam family "Bacterial small subunit ribosomal RNA", at positions 9 to 692 of the family's 1533-position model. The record is from RNAcentral.